AGUACUAGCAAAAUGUUUUCCUGGAUUAGGUCAUUAUAAUCUUAGGUUAAAAUUGCUAUAAGCAGUUCAGGCAAAAAAAUGCAUAUUGCUUUGUUUUAAAAGCAAACAAUG
Molecule: long non-coding RNA, 111 nt
Organism: Dipodomys spectabilis (banner-tailed kangaroo rat)
Lineage: Eukaryota; Metazoa; Chordata; Mammalia; Rodentia; Heteromyidae
Exons: 3
Source: RefSeq, a predicted model, not a curated record